RNAcentral lists this ribosomal RNA (468 nucleotides) under uncultured bacterium. RNAcentral's name for it is "partial 16S ribosomal RNA". It matches the Rfam family "Bacterial small subunit ribosomal RNA", at positions 28 to 507 of the family's 1533-position model. The record is from RNAcentral.
GACGAACGCUGGCGGCGUGCUUAACACAUGCAAGUCGAACGGAAAGGCCCUGCUUUUGUGGGGUGCUCGAGUGGCGAACGGGUGAGUAACACGUGAGUAACCUGCCCUUGACUUUGGGAUAACUUCAGGAAACUGGGGCUAAUACCGGAUAGGAGCUCCUGCUGCAUGGUGGGGGUUGGAAAGUUUCGGCGGUUGGGGAUGGACUCGCGGCUUAUCAGCUUGUUGGUGGGGUAGUGGCUUACCUAGGCUUUGACGGGUAGCCGGCCUGAGAGGGUGACCGGCCACAUUGGGACUGAGAUACGGCCCAGACUCCUACGGGAGGCAGCAGUGGGGAAUAUUGCACAAUGGGCGGAAGCCUGAUGCAGCAACGCCGCGUGCGGGAUGACGGCCUUCGGGUUGUAAACCGCUUUCGCCUGUGAUGAAGCGUGAGUGACGGUAAUGGGUAAAGAAGCACCGGCUAACUACGUG